Molecule: ribosomal RNA, 433 nt
Filed under: uncultured bacterium
Lineage: Bacteria
Description: partial 16S ribosomal RNA
Rfam family: Bacterial small subunit ribosomal RNA
Source: RNAcentral
AACGAACGCUGGCGGCAUGCCUAACACAUGCAAGUCGAACGAGACCUUCGGGUCUAGUGGCGCACGGGUGCGUAACGCGUGGGAAUCUGCCCUUCGGUUGGGAAUAACUGAGAGAAAUUUCAGCUAAUACCUUAUAAUGUCUUCGGACCAAAGAUUUAUCGCCGAGGGAUGAGCCCGCGUAGGAUUAGGUAGUUGGUGGGGUAAUGGCCUACCAAGCCGACGAUCCUUAGCUGGUCUGAGAGGAUGAUCAGCCACACUGGGACUGAGACACGGCCCAGACUCCUACGGGAGGCAGCAGUGGGGAAUAUUGGACAAUGGGCGAAAGCCUGGUCCAGCAAUGCCGCGUGAGUGAUGAAGGCCUUAGGGUUGUAAAGCUCUUUUACCCGGGAUGAUAAUGACAGUACCGGGAGAAUAAGCUCCGGCUAACUCCGUG